This 510-nucleotide ribosomal RNA is filed under the name uncultured bacterium. Its description in RNAcentral is "partial 16S ribosomal RNA". It matches the Rfam family "Bacterial small subunit ribosomal RNA", at positions 28 to 507 of the family's 1533-position model. The record is from RNAcentral.
GACGAACGCUGGCGGCGUGCUUAACACAUGCAAGUCGAACGAAGAGCGAUGGAAGCUUGCUUCUAUCAAUCUUAGUGGCGAACGGGUGAGUAACGCGUAAUCAACCUGCCCUUCAGGGGGGGACAACAGUUGGAAAGGACUGCUAAUACCGCAUACGAUCUAAUCUCGGCAUCGAGGAUAGAUGAAAGGUGGCCUCUACAUGUAACCUAUCACUGAAGGAGGGGAUUGCGUCUGAUUAGCUAGUUGGAGGGGUAACGGCCCACCAAGGCGAUGAUCAGUAGGCGGUCUGAGAGGAUGAACGGCCACAUUGGGACUGAGACACGGCCCGGACUCCUACGGGAGGCAGCAGUGGGGAAUCGUCCGCAAUGGACGAAAGUCUGACGGAGCAACGCCGCGUGAGUGAUGACAGCCGUCAGGUUGUAAAGCUCUGUUAAUCGGGACGAAAGGCCUUCUUGCGAAUAGUGAGAAGGAUUGACGGUACCGGAAUAGAAAGCCACGGCUAACUACGUG